Molecule: small nuclear RNA, 310 nt
Filed under: Chinchilla lanigera (long-tailed chinchilla)
Lineage: Eukaryota; Metazoa; Chordata; Mammalia; Rodentia; Chinchillidae
Description: 7SK RNA (ENSCLAG00000021491.1)
Rfam family: 7SK RNA
About the family: 7SK was discovered as an abundant small nuclear RNA in the mid-70s but a possible function has only recently been suggested.
Source: Rfam by way of RNAcentral
GGAUGUGCAGGUGAUCUGGCUGUGACACUUGUCACCCCAUUGAUUGCUAGGGUUGAUUCUGCUGAUCUGGCUGGCAAGGUAGAUGUCCUCCCUCAAUGUUCCAUGUGCUUCCACCCUUGAAGCUGCACCUUCAGUCGAAGACGACGACCACCCCCAAUAGAGGAGGACCGUUCCUCUGUCAAGGGUAUACAAGUAGCUGAGCUCCCCUGCUAGAACCUCCAAACAAGCUCUCAAAAUAAAUUGAAGAAAUAAAUAACAAUACAUUUAAAAAUAAAUCGGUGUAUAAAAACUGGAUUUAUAUACAAGUUUU